This 372-nucleotide ribosomal RNA is filed under the name uncultured organism. RNAcentral's name for it is "bacterial SSU rRNA". It matches the Rfam family "Bacterial small subunit ribosomal RNA", at positions 526 to 896 of the family's 1533-position model. The record is from RNAcentral.
CGGGGGGGGCAAGCGUUGUUCGGAAUUACUGGGCGUAAAGGGUCUGUAGGUGGCUUGCUAAGUCAGACGUGAAAUCCCUCAGCUUAACUGGGGAACUGCGUCUGAGACUGGCGAGCUUGAGGGCAGGAGAGGAACGCGGAAUUCCAGGUGUAGCGGUGAAAUGCGUAGAUAUCUGGAGGAACACCGGUGGCGAAGGCGGCGUUCUGGACUGCAUCUGACACUGAAAGACGAAAGCCAGGGGAGCAAACGGGAUUAGAUACCCCGGUAGUCCUGGCCCUAAACGAUGAAUGCUUGGUGUGGCGGGUAUCGAUCCCUGCCGUGCCGUAGUUAACGCGAUAAGCAUUCCGCCUGGGGAGUACGGUCGCAAGGCUG